CACACAUUGGACGCGACACUCACGUUAGGGUGGUAAAACAAUAAAAGUGGCUAAGACUCUGAGAAAGCUCGGAAAAAGAACCAUCGGCGAAAUCUCCCGGGAUGACCUGGACCUGUGUGAGCGCAGUUGGAGGAACCGCUCGGGAAGAGAAACGCAUUGGUCAGGUUUUCUGAUAGACCCAUUGAAAGUUGGACCUACCUGGAUAUUGGAGCCAGUCGAAGUUUGAUGGCGAGCCAGACCCCAGAGGAUACGUAGAGAUACGACGCCGCGGAACCUGAAUCCUUUUACACUUUUAUACAUACACACACACCACCCACACAACAGUGUGGUGGGAGUGAUUUUCCACCUUUAUGGUGUUGACUGAAAAAAGGUGAACUGAACUUUAGAAAAAACAAGCAGGUGCAAAACUUUAUUUUAUUUUUUUAUUUUCUGUACUUACCCGGGUAAGAGUUGUGAUAUUCUGUGCAAUUACUGUGUUUUAUCAGUCCUUCCCAUCCUGUAAUAAAUAGGGAAGCGUCAUUGUUUCUUAAAGAUAGUCCUGUGUUUGACUUGUUCCUGUGUCAUCGUUUGACCAAUCCUGGGCUCCAUAGUCGAUCUUAGAACUUCUGCUUCACUUGCCAUUGAAUCUAGACACUACCCCAUUUUCCAUUCCCUUUCCUUCUAAAAGGGUUACACAUAUGUUUUUGUUUUUAUGUCUUUAUUAACACAACCAACUACUGUUAUUUCUAUUGAUAAAAAAAUAAUAUAUUUGUGAGAGACUUUUUGAAUAUUAUGGACUUUUUUUUUUUUUUUUUAGUUUUUUACAAAAAAUACAAUUGCCGGGGAUCAGACUCAAAAGAAAUCAUCUUGUCCUCACAAAUGUUGCCCUCUUUCAAAUACUUUUCCAUUUUUCUGACAGACAAUCUGACAAACCUUUGCCUCAACUGUGGGGAGGAAAAUGCAGAUGACAGUGAAGAGGCAGAGCUGACAUGGAUAUCCUGUGAUGCCUGUGGACGGUGGUUCCACCAUGCAUGUGUUGGAAGGCCAAAGAUCGAGGACAAAUUUGUGUGUGCAGCAUGCUGAGGCAAAGGAACUUACUUCUUAGGAAGUUCAUGUAUCAAUAAGAAAUGUUCUAUUUACAGUUUAUUUUUCCUUGAUUUUGAAUGUUUCAUUUUUUAAAUUAUUUUAAUGUUUUU
Molecule: non-coding RNA, 1175 nt
Organism: Epinephelus lanceolatus (giant grouper)
Lineage: Eukaryota; Metazoa; Chordata; Actinopteri; Perciformes; Serranidae
Source: RefSeq, a predicted model, not a curated record